RNAcentral lists this long non-coding RNA (497 nucleotides) under Homo sapiens (human). RNAcentral describes it as "HSALNT0170882". The record is from RNAcentral. Lineage: Eukaryota; Metazoa; Chordata; Mammalia; Primates; Hominidae.
GUCGGCUGGGCUGCCCGCCGCUCCGCGCGCCCGGGCGGUCGCAGGUCGCGCCUGCUUUGGCCCCGGCGGGUUCGGCAUCCGAGCCUGGCAGGGGCCAAUAGAAAGUUUCCUACACUACUGAGGUUUAGGGGCACUGUGAAGCAAAAGCCACGCCUCAGAAUCCCAGGCGGAGACUCCGACCUCGUCCCGGGAGGGAAGCCAGUAGCUGAGCACCUGCGGGAGAUUAAAGAGAGGAAUAAGGAGAAACACUGGAAGGCAAGUGGCUGCUGACUGGAGGAGAUAAUUGGAUGCUGCAAGCGGCAAAGGGCUCGGGAUGCAAAACACCGCAAGAAAUGCAACAAGUGAGGAGCAUUCCCGCAAAGAAAAAACGCACAGGCCGAGAGCAGUGGCUCACGCCUGUAAUCCCAGCAGUUUGGGAGGCCGAGGCAGGUGCAUCGCUUGAGGACAGGAGUUCGAGACUAGGCUGGCCAACAUGGUGAAACCCCAUCUCUACUAAA